AUUGAACGCUGGCGGCAUGCCUUACACAUGCAAGUCGAACGGCAGCGCGGACUUCGGUCUGGCGGCGAGUGGCGAACGGGUGAGUAAUACAUCGGAACGUACCCUGUUGUGGGGGAUAACUAGUCGAAAGAUUAGCUAAUACCGCAUACGACCUGAGGGUGAAAGUGGGGGACCGCAAGGCCUCACGCAGCAGGAGCGGCCGAUGUCUGAUUAGCUAGUUGGUGGGGUAAAGACCCACCAAGGCGACGAUCAGUAGCUGGUCUGAGAGGACGAUCAGCCACACUGGGACUGAGACACGGCCCAGACUCCUACGGGAGGCAGCAGUGGGGAAUUUUGGACAAUGGGGGCAACCCUGAUCCAGCAAUGCCGCGUGUGCGAAGAAGGCCUUCGGGUUGUAAAGCACUUUUGUCCGGAAAGAAAUCGCGCUGGUUAAUACCUGGCGUGGAUGACGGUACCGGAAGAAUAAGCACCGGCUAACUACGUGCCAGCCGCCGCUGUAA
This 500-nucleotide ribosomal RNA is filed under the name uncultured bacterium. Its description in RNAcentral is "partial 16S ribosomal RNA". It matches the Rfam family "Bacterial small subunit ribosomal RNA", at positions 30 to 523 of the family's 1533-position model. The record is from RNAcentral.